This 354-nucleotide ribosomal RNA is filed under the name Fuchsina occulta. RNAcentral's name for it is "partial 12S ribosomal RNA". The record is from RNAcentral. Lineage: Eukaryota; Metazoa; Arthropoda; Insecta; Coleoptera; Latridiidae.
UAAAAAUGUAUUUUAAUUAACCCAAUUAUUAGUAGUUAUGUUCUUUAAAAUUAAAAAUUUUGGCGGUAUUUUAGUCUUUUCAGAGGAACCUGUUCUAUAAUCGAUAAUCCACGGUUUUAUUUUACUUAUAUUAAUAAAUUUGUAUAUCGUCGUAGUUGAAUAUUUUAAAAGAAUAAUAAUAUUCUGAAUUUAUUAUUUUAAAUUAAAUCAGAUCAAGGUGCAGUUUAUAUAUAAGGAGAAAUGGGUUACAAUAAAUUUAUUUAUUUAUGGUUUUAUUAAUUAAAAUUAAUAAUUAAAGUGGAUUUGAAAGUAAUUAAAAAAAGUUAUUUUUAAGGAUUAAGCUCUAAACUAUGU